Molecule: long non-coding RNA, 629 nt
Organism: Solanum dulcamara
Lineage: Eukaryota; Viridiplantae; Streptophyta; Magnoliopsida; Solanales; Solanaceae
Exons: 2
Source: RefSeq, a predicted model, not a curated record
UCAUCUUUGAAUGAUUAUAAAGGCAACGAGCGAGCAAAAGCUUCAUAUGUUAUGGCGACUAAGUGUUAGUGGGCAGCAAUGAACAAGGAUGCUAGAGUAUUGGCUAGGCAGACUUGGGCAGAAGGCAAGGCAAGGCAAGGCAGUGUGGCAUCGACAAGGCAAAGCAAGGCUGGGCAAGUGUGUUGUCUUGACAAGGCAAGGCAGUGUGACUUGACGAUGGCAAGACAAAGUUGAUUUGAGGUGAAGGAACGAAGUUGGCAAAGAUCACGAAAUAAAUUGCAUAUGGAAAGCAGUCAAGAAUCAUUCUAAGUGUGGGCUAUGUGCAAAUUCGACUAAGGCAUUGUGGGGCAUGUGCGAGGCACAUGUCCAAUGUAAUUUGAAUUCAAAUUUGAUUAGGCUGUUAGAAAAUAUGACUGUUGUAAUUGGUUAAGUUUCUGAUAAGAUUUGUUAAAGGCUUGUUCUAGGUACAUCGGUUGGUUAUAACUUUUGGAAUUGCCUUGUGCAUAGUUUUUAAAUAUGGGUAGAAAUUCAACUAAGGCCUCAAAGAGUGUUUUGUGCCUUAGUCAAAUUUGUAAAGCCUUUCUUUUGUUGAUUUUUGAUCUUAAUAAAGUUUGGGAAGAGUUCCUAUA